UCAAUGGUCAGCUGUCUGAGGUCUAGGCCUGUUUUUUUCCUGAUUGCAACAUUCAACAAUGAUCUUCUUGACCCUCCCUGUUUCACAACAGAACAAACUAGUUAUGGAAGUCCUCACCAUAGGAAUGUGAGCCUUUACAGACAAGGAGUUUUGGACAGCCUCUUGUAAGGUGUUUAUAAAGUGGGUUUUGAUGGUUCAAAGGGCCAGAGAUCGACCUCUCAUCAUCAGCAACAUGCAGUAACUGGGGUGUCUGGCAUGCUUGAAUGGGAAAUAAUGUUUGGGUCAAGAAGACUUUUACUGAUGCAGUGUGGGGAAAGGGGACUUUCAAGAGUUUCAACUUUUUGCUGGAUGAAGCAGGGCAUGCGUAGAGAACAUCUGUGAGACAGGAGGCAGCAGGUUGCACAGCAAUGUGUGGAUGACCCAUAUGCUGUCAAUGCAGUAGUGGUGAUUGAAGACCAAUCCUUCCCCCUCUGGAGGAAUCAUCUCACUGUCCCACAGCAAUGUGUGGAUGAUCCGUAUGGCUUCAACGCCACAAUGGUGAUUGGGGACAGAUCCUUCCCCCUUAGGAUUUCAACUCCCGGUCUUAGCCGCUAGGCCCUUGCCAGAACCUUGCAAUGACGGCGUGGAACCACUGGGAGUAUCCAUGGAAACUUGCCUGGACUGGGAGAGAGUCCAGCCAAAGAGGUCGGAAGAGGAAGAAGAGGAGAACAUAAGGGAACAUAGUUAUAUCAAAGAUCCUUGAUUACUAGCUCCGUUUUAACCCUCUCUGGAUAUAUAUAGAAUGGCUAGAUGUCUCGUCUGUGUUGCUGGCUAAUGGAGUCGAAUGUCCGCAUAUGGCGGCCAUCUUUCAACCGAUUUGGUUUAUUAUAAUCA
Alosa sapidissima (American shad) is the source of this 873-nucleotide long non-coding RNA. RefSeq lists it as uncharacterized. The record is from RefSeq and is a predicted model, not a curated record. The transcript is spliced from 6 exons. NCBI's taxonomy places the organism in Eukaryota, Metazoa, Chordata, Actinopteri, Clupeiformes, Clupeidae.